UAGGGAAUCUUCGGCAAUGGACGAAAGUCUGACCGAGCAACGCCGCGUGAGUGAAGAAGGUUUUCGGAUCGUAAAACUCUGUUGUUAGAGAAGAACAAGAACGUUAGUAACUGAACGUCCCCUGACGGUAUCUAACCAGAAAGCCACGGCUAACUACGUUCCAGCAGCCGCGGUAAUACGUAGGUGGCAAGCGUUGUCCGGAUUUAUUGGGCGUAAAGCGAGCGCAGGCGGUUUCUUAAGUCUGAUGUGAAAGCCCCCGGCUCAACCGGGGAGGGUCAUUGGAAACUGGGAGACUUGAGUGCAGAAGAGGAGAGUGGAAUUCCAUGUGUAGCGGUGAAAUGCGUAGAUAUAUGGAGGAACACCAGUGGCGAAGGCGGCUGUCUGGUCUGGAACUGACGCUGAGGCUCGAAAGCGAGGGGAGCAAACAGG
Molecule: ribosomal RNA, 429 nt
Filed under: Gemmatimonadota bacterium
Lineage: Bacteria; Pseudomonadati; Gemmatimonadota
Description: Gemmatimonadetes bacterium partial 16S ribosomal RNA
Rfam family: Bacterial small subunit ribosomal RNA
Source: RNAcentral